RNAcentral lists this ribosomal RNA (464 nucleotides) under uncultured bacterium. Its description in RNAcentral is "partial 16S ribosomal RNA". It matches the Rfam family "Bacterial small subunit ribosomal RNA", at positions 338 to 795 of the family's 1533-position model. The record is from RNAcentral.
CCUACGGGUGACUGCAGUAGGGAAUUUUCCGCAAUGGGCGAAAGCCUGACGGAGCAAUGCCGCGUGAGUGAUGAAGGUCUUCGGGUCGUAAACCUCUGUUGUCAGAGAAAAACGGUCACUGUAGUGAUCAGCAGUGAAUUGACGGUACCUUCAGAGGAAGCACCGGCUAACUACGUGCCAGCAGCCGCGGUAAUACGGAGGUGGCGAGCGUUAUCCGGAAUGAGUGGGCGUAAAGCGGUCGCAGGCGGUUGUAUAAGUCUGAAGUAAAAGCCAUCGGCUCAACCGAUGUAAGCGUUGGAAACUGUAGAUCUAGAGUGCAGGAGAGGACAGUGGAAUGCCAUGUGUAGCGGUAGAAUGAGUAGAUAUAUGGAGGAACACCAGUGGCGAAGGCGGCUGUCUGGCCUGUAACUGACGCUGAGGCACGAAGGCGUGGGGAGCAAAUAGGAUUAGAGACCCCAGUAGUC